This 326-nucleotide ribosomal RNA is filed under the name uncultured eukaryote. RNAcentral describes it as "partial 18S ribosomal RNA". It matches the Rfam family "Eukaryotic small subunit ribosomal RNA", at positions 1470 to 1796 of the family's 1831-position model. The record is from RNAcentral.
CCCUUAGAUGUUCUGGGCCGCACGCGCGCUACACUGAUGCAUUCAACGAGUUUUUCCUUGGCCGAGAGGCCUGGGCAAUCUUUUAAACGUGCAUCGUGAUAGGGAUAGAUUAUUGCAAUUAUUAAUCUUGAACGAGGAAUUCCUAGUAAACGCAGAUCAUCAAUCUGCAUUGAUUACGUCCCUGCCCUUUGUACACACCGCCCGUCGCUCCUACCGAUUGAGUGGUCCGGUGAGGCUUUGGGAUCUGAGCGGAAAGAGCGUUUCGCUGUUUCUGCUCGGAAAACUCAGUCGAACCUUAUCAUUUAGAGGAAGGAGAAGUCGUAACA